GACCACAUUGAAUGCACACACCACACUGGAGGACCAAAAGGGAAAUUAUUCCCGCCUUCCCAAAACGCUGCGCAGCGAUGGGCCAAAAUGGAACAAAAAUAAAAUAUGCGGGAAAAUUUAAAAGAAAUCAGAAAUUCAAUUUAAACGCACUGCUAGAAUAGGGGGACCGAAUGCGAAAAUAGACCAUUUAAGGUCUGACGCGCGGACCCCCCUUCCCCAAACGGCACCAUUUCGUCUUUGCUUUUAAGUUUUAAAAGAAACAAAAUUAAAGCUAAAAGAAAAUAAACCCUUUGAGCACUGCCGCUCCCCUUUGCUCCGAUUUCGAUGGAGAAGAUGCCGGCCCGACGACUCCGACGACCAGGUAAUGCUGGCGUACGGAGCGGCGCACGCUGGGGAAGGUCGUGGUGCGAGAUUCGCGGCGGCGUGCGAGGGUGAGUUGCGGCGGUGCUGAAGCAAAUAGUUUCCUAGGGUUUCUGUUAUUUUGUUUUUGUGUGGGCUAGGUUUAGUAGGUUGGGUCUAGUAUUUGGGCCUAUUUAUUUGCUUGGGCCCGGGCAUUAUUGGGCUUGUACACAAGGGAUCGACAGUUUCUCGUUUGAACUCCCUAGAGAAUUGAUCUAAGCAUUGACAAGCACACCAACUUCAAUUACUGGGAGUGCCACAGGUACUUUAGUUUGGAGCCCAUCCCAUACAAGCCUAUUUUCACUUCAAACGACAUACGACAUUGUAGUCGAGAGAAAGAAAAAUAUGGCUGUAAGAGGGAACAUCCCAACUUGGGACAACAUAUGGAAAGCUAAGCUCCUACCCAAGAUUAAAUUCUUUUUUAUGGAACUGUAGCCUCAAAGCACUCCCCAUAAGGAAAUUUUUGAAUACGAGAGGCAUUAACGUCA
This is a long non-coding RNA of Gossypium raimondii (Peruvian cotton), 887 nucleotides long. RefSeq lists it as uncharacterized. The transcript has 2 exons. NCBI's taxonomy places the organism in Eukaryota, Viridiplantae, Streptophyta, Magnoliopsida, Malvales, Malvaceae. The record is from RefSeq and is a predicted model, not a curated record.